ACAGUCAUAUCCCGUUGGAACACCGCUUUUCGUACGAUCACCGAAGUUAAGCAACGUCGAGACUGUUGAGUAUGUAGAUGUGUGACCACUUGGGAAUACCAGGUUCUGUA
This is a non-coding RNA of Acanthosepion pharaonis, 110 nucleotides long. NCBI's taxonomy places the organism in Eukaryota, Metazoa, Mollusca, Cephalopoda, Sepiida, Sepiidae. The record is from the annotation of a GenBank genome assembly.